Molecule: transfer RNA, 71 nt
Filed under: Marmota monax (woodchuck)
Lineage: Eukaryota; Metazoa; Chordata; Mammalia; Rodentia; Sciuridae
Description: tRNA.Ala
Rfam family: tRNA (bases 6-66)
About the family: Transfer RNA (tRNA) molecules are approximately 80 nucleotides in length. Their secondary structure includes four short double-helical elements and three loops (D, anti-codon, and T loops).
Source: RNAcentral
GAGGCUGGGGCUCAGUGGUAGAGCACUUGCCUAGCAUGUGUGAGGCCCUGAGUUUGAUUCUCAGCACCACA